RNAcentral lists this ribosomal RNA (510 nucleotides) under uncultured Bacteroidales bacterium. RNAcentral's name for it is "bacterial SSU rRNA". It matches the Rfam family "Bacterial small subunit ribosomal RNA", at positions 8 to 507 of the family's 1533-position model. Lineage: Bacteria; Pseudomonadati; Bacteroidota; Bacteroidia; Bacteroidales. The record is from RNAcentral.
AGAGUUUGAUCCUGGCUCAGGAUGAACGCUAGCGGCAGGCUUAACACAUGCAAGUCGAGGGGCAUCGGGAGGGAAGCUUGCUUUCCUUGCCGGCGACCGGCGCACGGGUGAGUAACACGUAUGCAACCUACCCUCUUCAGGGGGACAACCUUCCGAAAGGGAGGCUAAUCCCGCGUAUAUCGGUUUCGGGCAUCCGAGAUCGAGGAAAGAUUCAUCGGAAGAGGAUGGGCAUGCGGCGCAUUAGCUUGACGGCGGGGGUAACGGCCCACCGUGGCGACGAUGCGUAGGGGUUCUGAGAGGAAGGUCCCCCACACUGGUACUGAGACACGGACCAGACUCCUACGGGAGGCAGCAGUGAGGAAUAUUGGUCGAUGGGAGAGAUCCUGAACCAGCCAAGCCGCGUGAGGGAAGACGGCCCUAUGGGUUGUAAACCUCUUUUGUCGGAGAACAAAACCCGGGACGUGUCCCGGACUGCGUGUAUCCGAAGAAAAAGCAUCGGCUAACUCCGUG